GGCGGUGUAGCCAAAUGGUAAGGCAAAGGUUUGCAACACCUUCACUCUUGGUUCAAAUCCAAGCACCGUCU
This 71-nucleotide transfer RNA is filed under the name Bacillus manliponensis. RNAcentral describes it as "Bacillus sp. BL4-6 tRNA". It matches the Rfam family "tRNA". From Rfam's summary of the family: Transfer RNA (tRNA) molecules are approximately 80 nucleotides in length. Their secondary structure includes four short double-helical elements and three loops (D, anti-codon, and T loops). Further hydrogen bonds mediate the characteristic L-shaped molecular structure. tRNAs have two regions of fundamental functional importance: the anti-codon, which is responsible for specific mRNA codon recognition, and the 3' end, to which the tRNAs corresponding amino acid is attached (by aminoacyl-tRNA synthetases). tRNAs cope with the degeneracy of the genetic code in two manners: having more than one tRNA (with a specific anti-codon) for a particular amino acid; and 'wobble' base-pairing, i.e. permitting non-standard base-pairing at the 3rd anti-codon position. Lineage: Bacteria; Bacillati; Bacillota; Bacilli; Caryophanales; Bacillaceae. The record is from Rfam by way of RNAcentral.